CAGUCGCCGCGGUAACACCGAGGGUGCAAGCGUUAAUCGGAAUUACUGGGCGUAAAGCGCGCGUAGGUGGUUCGUUAAGUUGGAUGUGAAAUCCCCGGGCUCAACCUGGGAACUGCAUCCAAAACUGGCGAGCUAGAGUAGGGCAGAGGGUGGUGGAAUUUCCUGUGUAGCGGUGAAAUGCGUAGAUAUAGGAAGGAACACCAGUGGCGAAGGCGACCACCUGGGCUCAUACUGACACUGAGGUGCGAAAGCGUGGGGAGCAAACAGGAUUAGAUACCCCUGUAGUCCCUGUCUCUUAUAC
RNAcentral lists this ribosomal RNA (301 nucleotides) under uncultured bacterium. RNAcentral's name for it is "partial 16S ribosomal RNA". It matches the Rfam family "Bacterial small subunit ribosomal RNA", at positions 509 to 807 of the family's 1533-position model. The record is from RNAcentral.